GAGAGCUUCAUCCAGCCCCAAGCACCCCAGGGGACUGUGUAUUUCAGCUCGAAAAUUCCGGUGACCGUUGUUGACAGUGGAUACAGCAAAACUGAAAUACUCGAUCCAGACCGAUAUUUUGAUGGCUUGGAGAAUGACUGAUGGUGACUGGGGAG
Molecule: long non-coding RNA, 155 nt
Organism: Haliotis rubra (blacklip abalone)
Lineage: Eukaryota; Metazoa; Mollusca; Gastropoda; Lepetellida; Haliotidae
Exons: 3
Source: RefSeq, a predicted model, not a curated record